AGAGUUUGAUCCUGGCUCAGAUUGAACGCUGGCGGCAGGCCUAACACAUGCAAGUCGAGCGGAUGAUGGGAGCUUGCUCCCGGAUUCAGCGGCGGACGGGUGAGUAAUGCCUAGGAAUCUGCCUGGUAGUGGGGGACAACGUUUCGAAAGGAACGCUAAUACCGCAUACGUCCUACGGGAGAAAGCAGGGGACCUUCGGGCCUUGCGCUAUCAGAUGAGCCUAGGUCGGAUUAGCUAGUUGGUGGGGUAAAGGCCUACCAAGGCGACGAUCCGUAACUGGUCUGAGAGGAUGAUCAGUCACACUGGAACUGAGACACGGUCCAGACUCCUACGGGAGGCAGCAGUGGGGAAUAUUGGACAAUGGGCGAAAGCCUGAUCCAGCCAUGCCGCGUGUGUGAAGAAGGUCUUCGGAUUGUAAAGCACUUUAAGUUGGGAGGAAGGGCAGUAAGUUAAUACCUUGCUGUUUUGACGUUACCAACAGAAUAAGCACCGGCUAACUUCGUGCCAGCAGCCGCGGUAAUAC
RNAcentral lists this ribosomal RNA (523 nucleotides) under uncultured bacterium. RNAcentral's name for it is "bacterial SSU rRNA". It matches the Rfam family "Bacterial small subunit ribosomal RNA", at positions 8 to 526 of the family's 1533-position model. The record is from RNAcentral.